CUCGCAGGUGGAUAUAUGAUGUGACGGACGCACACAGACAUUCGAGGUUCCACACAGGGACGUUGCACGGACGCCGGCUGUGAUCGUGAUGCAUUUAUUGGAGAAAUGUGUGAAAAUGGACAUGCACUGGAAGUAGCAUGCUGUUAUUGUCACCAUGCACGAGCGAAGCAUGCAGCACUGAGUGAAACAGGUAACCCAUAGCGCAGCUCCACUGGUUCCAAAUUUGAUGGACACAGCCAUGAGUUACCUGGCAGUAUUGUGGCAGAGGGUAUCUUGUGCCACAGAAGUACAUACGAACAGUCCAGCAGAAAUACAGCAGCAGCCCAAUCCCAGUCUAUAACUCUGCAGAGGCUCAGAGAGAUAGCAGCAAACCAGGUCCUUCCCACAACUCUACGCAAGCUCGGGAUUCGUCGCAAACCCAGCCAGCCAGCCAGCCAGCCAUGUACGAACCUAUAUUUGCCAACAUUGUAGAUUGUCGACUAGGUAUUUCCAGUGCUUUUGUGACCACGUCGUUCAGUGUGUUGGGUGUGGCUUUCUCCCUUCUUGUGAUACUUGUGGAACAACGUUUGAAACCAUCUAAAGAUACAUACAUCAUUUGAAUUUUUGUAUUUAGUUAAGCACACGAGUACAGGAUGACAUAACAUGACAGGAUGAACCAGCCAACACAA
Ornithodoros turicata is the source of this 668-nucleotide long non-coding RNA. RefSeq lists it as uncharacterized. The transcript is spliced from 3 exons. NCBI's taxonomy places the organism in Eukaryota, Metazoa, Arthropoda, Arachnida, Ixodida, Argasidae. The record is from RefSeq and is a predicted model, not a curated record.